Non-coding RNA from Ictidomys tridecemlineatus (thirteen-lined ground squirrel), 5117 nucleotides. The record is from RefSeq and is a predicted model, not a curated record. NCBI's taxonomy places the organism in Eukaryota, Metazoa, Chordata, Mammalia, Rodentia, Sciuridae.
CCUGGCCGUGGGCAGGACCCGGGCCUGGCCAUGGAGCCGGCUGGCCGCUCUCCCCAGGGUUCCCCAGCUGAGGCCCAGACCCCAGGACCUCAGAAUGCGACCGCAUGGAGACAAGGUCUUUGACUAAGCUACCAGGGGCCCCUGGGGUGGCCCUGACGCAGCCUGACUGGGGUCCACGGGAGGACAUUGGGCAAGCUGGCCCCCCGCCAGUCAGGGCGACGUCAGAGGCCGCAGCCUGCCACGCCCUGCCCUUGGACGUCAGCCCAGAGCCAGGUGGGAGGAACAGCUGCGGUGGCCCUGCCGUCCAUCCGUGCCCUGGGCCUCCCAGCACGACUCCCCACUUCCCCAAGGCCAGCAGAGGACUCUUCCCAUGGGACAGACACAGAGUCGCUCACAGCAUGAGUGACAAUGCCGCGGCCUGGCUCACACUCAGCAGGAGGGAGGAGCUCACGCUGCAGAUCCCAGGAGGGGGACUGUGGGGCCUCCUCAGAGUCCAUCCACCCCACUCAGCGUCCUGACCUGCUCAUUUGCUCUGGGAGGUUGUUCAAGUAAGAGUAAGGCUGACUGUGGCCCCCCGCGGCGCGCCUGGACCUCACGUGUUCUCGCGCCCACGGUACACCAGUCAGGACAGGUUAGGUUUUGCCGCAGUAACGAAUGACUCCAAAUCCCAGCUAAACAAACAACCGCGGUUUCUCCCUUUUCCUUGGUGGGUCACGCAGACCUCAGUGCUCUUGGUAAACACAAUGGCCACCACGAGGCGGCAGCCAGUGGCUCACAGGCUCUUGAAAUGAGUCACAUACCAGUGUGGUGGCCACGCCUGCAAUCCCCGAGACUUGGGAGGCUGAGGGAGGAGGAUCGCAAGCUCUAGGCCAACCUCAGCAACUUGGCAAGGCUCUGAACAAUUUAGGGAGGCCUUGUCUCAAAAAAAAAAAAAGAAAAAGGAAAAAGUUUGGAGGGGCCAGAGACGCUGCUCUGGGGUAACGUGCCCACAGCGUGUGGCCUCAGGACUCAGAGGUAAGCUGCACGUGACCUGCGCUGAAGCUUCAUCACCUAGAGAACCCAGUCGCUGCCCCCACCCGCUGUGUGACAAGAUGGGCACAGUGAUACCUGCAUUUUCUGAGGAGAAAGCCGAGGCUCAGAGAGGUUAGGAGUCUUGCUCAAGAACCCACAGCUUCAAGCAGCUAAGCAGAGGCGUCCCCCAUGGGCUCAGGACACCCCCAUCCUCCUCCCCAGGCCUGGUUUAUGAUCCGACCUGGGCCACACACGCGCGUGAACACACUCACGCUCACAUGCGUGCACCGCCCUGAGCGUGGCAGGGGUGGCGUGGAGCAUGGGCUGAGCCCCCCCACCCCGGGCUCAUGACACGGUGAUGACCAAGGACGGGUCCAGGGAGCCGCGCUGCAGGGACCUCUGUGUCUGAGCCUCGGUCCCUGGGGUCAUCCUAGAGGCCCUGGGGUCCUCCUGGUGAUCUCUGGCACCGGGCAGCCGGCCAUCAGCUCCCGCGGGUGGGUGUGUCUGGCUCGCUGUGUCCCCAGGACCAGGCGGGCGCCGGGCAGGGCCUCGAGGGCUCUGCAGACAGCGGGCUCCCGGCCCACUGGACCUGCCCCAUGUGGACGGUGGACCGGACUGCUUCUCUGUCCCCCAGGACAGGGCCACCUACUGUGGUGGCCCCAGAGCCCCCGGCGUCCCUGCUGCUCUUUGUCCUGUGUGUGUGUGUCCAGCCCCCUGGUGGCCCCUGCCUCAGCUUCCAGUCACCCCCAGCCUCACCAGGCUCUGGCCAUGGUGGCACACCUGGACGGUGCAGCGAUCCAGCCCCCAGGCUCCUGGUGGCCACGUGGCCCCCUGAGUCCCUUGGUCACCGUCAGACAGGGGGAUCCUGUCAGAGCCCCAGGCCCGCGGCAGGGAAGCUCCACCCGAGGGUCCCUGCGGCUCCCACCCCAGAAAAAGCCAGAGUGUGACGUGACAAGCCCCCUGCAGCCGGUCCCCUCCCCGUCUGUCCUCAUCUCCCACCUGUGGCCCUGUCACUCACCCAGCACCAGACUCUUGGUGGCCUCUCACGGUUGCCAGCCCCCACACUGGGUCACGGGGACAGCCUCCCGUCCCCUCCCUGACUAUGGGCCCCGGGGUGGGCAGUGGCCUGUCUGGUCCUGUGACCUGGGGCAGGGGUCCCACAGGGCUGGGAGGGGCCCCUGCCUGCUGCAGAGUGUGCCGCGGGUGGCCCCGGUGGUCCCAGAGACCAGGGCCCCUGAGCAGCCGCCCCAUCGCGGAACCCACUGCCCCCUGACCUCUGGCUUCGGCUUCCGCCAGGAGCGCGAAGCCGACGUGAGGGAACGUGUGGGGGCGGGGGGCUCUCGAGACCCUGGAGUGAGCUCCUCUGUGCUCCAGAACAGCCUCGGGCCUGGAGGGAGCGGGAGGCGUGUGGAGGGGCCGAGGCUGGACCGGCAGGCCUGAGGCUGGACCGGCUGACCUUCGGCUGCAGGGGCGUGUCCGGAGGCAGCCAGCAGAGCCCAGCAGAUGAGUGGCCAGGACAGCCCAGUGCCACCAGCCUGCUGCCCACCAUGAGCCAAGCAGAGCUGGUGACUUGUGCCCUGGGGCCCUGGGGUCCAGGGGUCAUUGCCAUGCGGCGUGUAAGUGCUCAAUAAAUGUCUCUGCUGUGCGCCAAGCAUGUGGGCCUGGUGGCUCCUAGGGCAGGGCCAGCCGGACACUGGCCAGGUGGCGUCCUGUCACCCUGUGGGAGUGGCGCUCACAGCUCGGGUUCACUGGGCCGAGCUGGCGGAGGGCAGAUCUGGGGGCAGGGCUUCCUGGGCCUGCAGCUCCGGCCCUGGCCCCCAGCCAGCUCUUCCACGGCUGCGGCAGGACUCCUGGCAGGACAGAGCUGGGUCCCAGUCUGUCCUCAGUCCUGGCCCGGCUGCCCGGCACCUGGGCCUCUGGAUGGUAAUCUCGCCGACCCACAGGGCCACCCACGGUUCCUGCUGGCUCUCCCCUCAGCUGGUCCCCUCCCCAGCACAGACGGUCCCUGGAGCAGAGCCCGGGACAGCAGUUCUCACGGGACAGGCUGGCUGGGAGCAGGGACAGAGCCAUCUGGAGGGUCUCUGGGCCGAGAACUGUACCGGGGAGGGUUCUGUCUCUGAAAGGCAUCCCUGAGUCCCCUACUUGAGUCAGGGCUCAGCAAGAGGAAGGGCUGGUUAGAAAGUGAAAGGUGGCGGCUGCAUCCUCAGAGCAGAGUGCAGGCUGCAUCCGUCCUACAGAGGGCUUCUGGGACCUCAGGCUCUUCCUCUAAAGGAAACCUGGUGUGGGGCGGCCAUGGGAAGGAUGUGGAAACGGCAUCAGCUGGGCGCUGGUGGCGCUGGUGGAGGCCUGGCCUCUGGGAUCUUCAGGAUGUCACUUGUCUCCUUGAUCUGAUCAACAGGUACACGCGCCCGGAUCAUAGGUUUCUUAAAAUAUACUGCUGCGUGAUCUAAUCUGAAAGUCCAUGCCGGAGCCGACCAGCUCUCGUAAGCAGGCGAACCAGGUGAUUUUCAUAGACCAGCAGGGCUUCAUAGCACGAAGAUUUACAGAUUUCUCAGGAAGCUAGGAGUGACUGUCAGGAGGGACGGGCCAGGGGCCGGGGUGGCUGCUCAGGUCUGGCCUCCGUCCUGGUCCCUUUGUCCUUCCUCGGAUUCCUUCUGUCCUUUCUUCCUUUUCUGCUCCACCUCAUCUUCAUCGGGAGCCAGGCCGGCUGGGGGGUGGGGGGGUGUUACAGACACAGCUUUUCUUCAUUUUUAUUGUGGUAAAAUAUCUAUUGCAUAAAAACCACUGCAUUAGCCACUGUGAGGUCCAAGGUCUGGUGUUAGUGACACUUGCCACGAGACAGUUCCUGGGGCUCCUGUCACCCUGAACAGUGGCCCUGUCCCUGGCCCUGUGGAGCAGUAACCGCCACUCCCCUGGCCUGGCCAUGGCGCCCUAACCCUCCUCUCCUCUAAGCUGGGUCUCCUCAUGGGCACCCCUGGCUGCCAGCUUCUUGCCCUUGGCAUAACACCCUCAAGGCUUAUCCACGCAGUGGCCGAGGCCAGAAGUCCCUCGCUUCCUGCCCUUUCCAUGAUGUAAAUGGGCUUCCAUUUUGAGCCCUGGGCAUGCGCAGUAGAGAAGGCACCCCGGCCCCGGGAGGCAGGGCUGGCCCAGCAGGAGCUCCAGGGUCCCUGGGGAUGCACUGCUGCUGGAGGGGGAAGCAAAGCAUUGUGGGCCACCAGCUCAGCAGGUGCAAAGGCCCCGUGGGGGAGGCCGGCUGUGUCUUCCGAUGCGUGGGUUACAGAUUAAGUGUUUGUGUCUCCCCCACAUUCGCAGGUUGGGGUCCUGACCCUGUGUGUGACGGUGCCGGGAGGCAGAGCCUGUGGGAGGGGACAAGGUCAUGACGUGGGCCCCCACGGGGGGUGGUAACUUCAAGCCGGGACCCUAGAGAACUCCCUGGCCAGUUUCCGCCCCGUGAGGACAUCUGGGGAGCAGCAGCCCUCACCAGAGUGGAAUCUCUGGGGCCUCCACCUCGGGCCUCAGCCUCCAGAGCCGUGAGCACCACAUUUCCUGCUCCUCGGCCACCAACGGGACCCCGCAGGACAGUGUGGCCUCAGAGCCGCGUUCAGCCCACGGCGGGAGCUCUCUGCCCAGUGACGGAGGGCAGGGCCACGGCCAGGCCCGUCCUGGGCUGCUCUCACAGCAGGUCUGGCCCUGCAGACAGUCCUGGGAGGGGAGCGGGCAGAAUGAACAUGGCCAAUGGCCAUCCUGCCUCAAGAGUAAAGUCCCUGUACAAGAACACGAAUAACCAAAAGCCGGUUCCUGUUGACCCUGAGCGCCUGGAUCCAGCUGUACUUGAAGGAGGAAUGAAUGAGACUUUCAGAUACGAGAUACGGAGCUCCUGGCUCCUGCCCUGGGGUGGAGCCUGCGGUGCCCGGGCUUUCCCUGGGCCUCCCUCCCCCCAGCCUGGACCCCUCACGCAGGCCCCGAGGGAGUCAGGACAGCCUCCCCCGCCCUCCCCCCUGCCCGCUGGGCUCCUGGGCGAUACAUCCUAAUGUAUAUUUAACAGUGGUUCAAAAUCGAAUUAAUUUAGCUGGUUAAUAAACUGUAACAUCCGUUUCUAAAUCGGG